CCCUUAGAUGUCCUGGGCCGCACGCGCGCUACACUGAUGUGUCCAGUAAGCACCUAACCUCUUCCGAAAGGAACGGGUAACCUUUGCAAAGCACAUCGUGAUGGGGAUAGAUUAUUGCAAUUAUUAGUCUUGAACGAGGAAUUCCUAGUAAGCACAAGUCAUCAGCUUGUGUUGAUUACGUCCCUGCCCUUUGUACACACCGCCCGUCGCUCCUACCGAUUGAAUGUUCCGGUGAGCUCUUCGGACUGCGCGGUCUGCAGUUUCUGCGUUCCGUGCGGAAAGUUGCGCAAACCUUAACAUUUAGAGGAAGGAGAAGGCGUAACA
Molecule: ribosomal RNA, 324 nt
Filed under: uncultured eukaryote
Lineage: Eukaryota
Description: partial 18S ribosomal RNA
Rfam family: Eukaryotic small subunit ribosomal RNA
Source: RNAcentral